UACUUUUUUUACCAUUAAUCAGCUUUCAAAAGUGAGAAAUGUUUUUUUCUCAGAGCAGGAGGAUGUCCUCGCCUUGUACGCCUCCAUUCUUUCAUGACAUUUUUUUUUUCAUUCAUCUAGUCUCGAAUCAAAUGAUCAAUAUCUGACAGCAUGAAACAAGAGAAACACUUUAAUUCCUCUUUUCAAAAUGUGUCCAGCCUCAGCUUUUGUAAAAACAAAUUCAUGCACAAAUCUAGGAAAUUAGUGAGGAGCAGACUUGGUCGUUAUCCCUUAUUCUACCAUUGACAAGGACUUAGAAACAUAUCAACUUUGAUGAGAUUCAACCGCUUAAAAUUGAGGUAAAUCUACCCAGACAUGCAGGAUUGUACUUUAGAAGCCAAGAGACACAUCUCAAUAAUCCUAUUUGGCAUUCAAUCUACAUGUACUUCUGUACCAGCUGUACCUCUGAGUACUACCGGAUCAGUGGUUAGAUACAAAGUUUUAUCCCAGACCAGACGUGAAAAGAUAUGGAUGAGUACUACUGAAUCAGUGAUUGUAUACAAAGUUUUAUCCCAGACCAGGCGUGAAAAGAUAUGGAUGAAUACUACUGAAUCAGUGAUUGUAUACAAAGUUUUAUCUCAGACCAGGCGUGAAAAGAUAUGGAUGAGUACCUGAAUCAGUGAUUAGAUACAAAGUUUUAUCCCAGACCAGACGUGAAAAAAAAUGUGGAUGCAUGAGAACAAAACCAGUGUGUUUUCUAUCCGCAUCCUGUCGUCUAUCAAGAUCUAGUACCAGUGUUCUCAUUUAAAAUUUAUUUCCUCUUAUUGUAUAUAUUUAAUUACGUAUUAAUUUAAUUAUUGUUUCAAUUAUUAAAUUUGUCUUCAUUUUUAGUCUAUAUUUUGUAAAUUUUAUAAUUUGAAGUGUUUUUUCAAUAUUGUAUUUUCUGUAAUCUUUGCUUUACUUGUCUGUAGUUCAACUAAAUUGUAUAACACGCUCCUUCACAUAUUUUUUAAUUUCAUUUUAGUCACCUUUAAACACGUACAUUUGUAACAUACAAACAUUCGAUUAUCGCAACUGGAAGGCUUAAAUAUUUUUAGAAAAACGAGGGCUGUUCAAAAAAAUUUACAGAAAGUGUUAAAAUUUGUUAUUGUAUAUUCAAGACAAUCAAGAUAAAACAUAAUUAUAUGUAAAAAAAAAAAAUAUAUUGACUUUGAUGGUGUGUUUCAUUUUAUAAAUAUUCAAUGGAACUAAUGUUACCAAUUUCUAAGAUGAAUGUUUUGAUACGAAGGAGCACAUUUAACAACAUUCCAACUUCAAAAACUCUCUCUUAAAUAAUUUAUCUUUACAUUUCAAAGAAGUCUGACAUCAUACCCACUUAUCAAAAACUUUCUAUACCACUUGUCUAAUAUCUGGUUUAGUAUCAUACAUGUAUUAAGUCCGUUUGUCAGUUUUUUUAAUAGCGUAGCUCUCUGUAACAGUGAAGCGCCCAUCUUGAUACAUUAAUUGCACCUCUUUUGAUCAAAUUUUUACUGAUACCCUUUUUGCUCAUAGACCAUUUAUCGUCUGAUAAAGAGUCUCUAGUCUCUACUAUUAUAAAAACGUCUUUGUCAUAUAUAAACAAUGCACGGCUUACUUUUAACAUAUUAUUAGCUUUAUCCUGCAUUUUUGGAGUUAAGUCUUUUAUAUUUAAUAUUUAUUUCUUAUUCUAUUUCCCAAGUGCAGGACAAAGUUGUAUUGCUUGUUACUUUUCAGUGAUGGCUACCCAUCUUCUGAAAUUCAUUUCUCAUUAACUAAGCAAACUUUCAACUCACAACUUAACAUAUCAAUGUUGUAGCAAAUUUCACUAUAAACGUCUGAAUAUGUCUUCGUUUUUGAGCAAUUUUACAGAGAUGUGACUACUUAUACCUAUUAAGAAAUUAAUAAAUAGUAUUGUCUUUUAAUUUGACCUGCUCCAUGAUUCCAUUUUUACAGCUUUAAACUUUUAAUGAGAUUGAAACUUAUCAUGAUAUAAAUUAUUGGAAUUUUUAAAUUCAAACCAUUCGAAUUGAAAGUUAUUUACAAAAUUUGUUGACAAUGUGACAAAAGCCUUCAGACUUUUCGAACAGCCCUCGUAUGUACAUUUCAAUUGAUAUCUACAGAUGACGAAAAGUUAUGAUUAACAUAUAUCCUUGUCUCUAUAUUUUCAUAUACGCAGCUGCAGUUUAGC
Long non-coding RNA from Saccostrea echinata, 2185 nucleotides. RefSeq lists it as uncharacterized. The transcript is spliced from 3 exons. NCBI's taxonomy places the organism in Eukaryota, Metazoa, Mollusca, Bivalvia, Ostreida, Ostreidae. The record is from RefSeq and is a predicted model, not a curated record.